UGCUUACAUCGAAACUGAACAAAAUAUAUAGUGAAAUAAUCAAAUGAUAACAAAGCUUUGCACGAUCCUCUGCACUUUUUAUGCUAAUCUGAAUAAUCUCACUUGAAUCUAAUAAAAAUGCAUCAUCUUGUCUAUAGCUUCUAACAGCCACUAGUAAAAACUGAUAAUCUUAUCUACAGCAAUCUGGAGCUCCUUUAUCUUCUCUUGUUGUGCAACAUCCUUCUUAUCAUGUUCUUGCGCCUUCCCUUCCAUCUCUUCUAACCACCCAUCCUGAAAUUGCACAGUUUUUUAAAUCAAAAAUUGCAUUGUGGUAUUGAUGUAAGCAUAUCUGUUUCCUACUGCUGCCUUGUGUAUGGAUCAUUCUGAACAUUAAAGAUGAUACCUGAGCUACUCAAAGCAGAUGACACUGCCAGAUUAUUCUUUUGAACUUUUCGAGUGAGAGUCGAAAGCUGAGUAUCUAGAGUUCCAUUCACCGCCUCUGU
This 482-nucleotide long non-coding RNA is filed under the name Triticum aestivum (bread wheat). Its description in RNAcentral is "long non-coding RNA (TAES_LNC008348)". Lineage: Eukaryota; Viridiplantae; Streptophyta; Magnoliopsida; Poales; Poaceae. The record is from RNAcentral.